Molecule: ribosomal RNA, 253 nt
Filed under: uncultured bacterium
Lineage: Bacteria
Description: partial 16S ribosomal RNA
Rfam family: Bacterial small subunit ribosomal RNA
Source: RNAcentral
UACGUAGGGGGCAAGCGUUGUCCGGGUUUAUUGGGCGUAAAGAGCGUGUAGGCGGUUUGGUAGGUCCGCUGUGAAAACUCGAGGCUCAACCUCGAGACGCCGGUGGAAACCAUCAGACUAGAGUCCGGAAGAGGAGAGUGGAAUUCCUGGUGUAGCGGUGAAAUGCGCAGAUAUCAGGAAGAACACCCGUGGCUAAGGCGGCUCUCUGGGACGGUACUGACGCUGAGACGCGAAAGCGUGGGGAGCGAACAGG